AACGAGAUCUGUAGCAAUACAGAUACUCGUGGCGAACGGGUGCGUAACACGUGGAUAACCUUCCUUCAGGUGGGGAAUAACCCAGUGAAAAUUGGGCUAAUACCGCAUAACAAGACGAGGACACAUGCUCUUGUCUUCAAAGGCGCAAGUCGCCAGAAGAGGGAUCCGCGGCCGAUUAGCUUGUUGGCGGGGUAACGGCCCACCAAGGCAAUGAUCGGUAGCCGGACUGAGAGGUUGGCCGGCCACACUGGAACUGAGACACGGUCCAGACUCCUACGGGAGGCAGCAGUGGGGAAUCUUGCGCAAUGGACGAAAGUCUGACGCAGCAACGCCGCGUGGGGGAUGAAGCUUCUCGGA
RNAcentral lists this ribosomal RNA (357 nucleotides) under uncultured bacterium. RNAcentral describes it as "bacterial SSU rRNA". It matches the Rfam family "Bacterial small subunit ribosomal RNA", at positions 65 to 422 of the family's 1533-position model. The record is from RNAcentral.